GUGAUUUUCGCUACAAUUUAUUUUGGACCGAUUUGAAUUUUGUUUUCAGUUUUCGUCAUACGCGUAGUCAAGUAAAUAUCCGGGUAGGUAUUAUUUAUUCCAAUACUGCCUAACAUUUUAAAGUUGAUUUCGUAUUUUCGUCAAUUUGAGGCUUGCCGCUUUAACACCGUAACUUUUUUUGCCGUAUUGGAGUUGAGAAAAAAAAUAACACCGAUUUCAAGUAUUAUUCCUUUCAACAUCUGCUUCGAAUUUGCUUAACGAUUUGACAUUUUCGUAGCCGCAACGAUUAAUUUGAUUUAAAACAUUUAAUUGUGUCUAUUGUCAGAGACAACAGACGGAUACCAUUAAAAAA
This is a long non-coding RNA of Patiria miniata (bat star), 352 nucleotides long. RefSeq lists it as uncharacterized. The record is from RefSeq and is a predicted model, not a curated record. Lineage: Eukaryota; Metazoa; Echinodermata; Asteroidea; Valvatida; Asterinidae. The transcript has 2 exons.